Molecule: ribosomal RNA, 253 nt
Filed under: uncultured bacterium
Lineage: Bacteria
Description: partial 16S ribosomal RNA
Rfam family: Bacterial small subunit ribosomal RNA
Source: RNAcentral
UACGUAGGUGGCAAGCGUUGUCCGGAUUUACUGGGCGUAAAGGGCGCGUAGGCGGCAUGACAAGUCACUUGUGAAAUCUCCGGGCUUAACUCGGAACGGUCAAGUGAUACUGUCGCGCUAGAGUGCGGAAGGGGCAAUCAGAAUUCUUGGUGUAGCGGUGAAAUGCGUAGAUAUCAAGAGGAAUACCUGAGGUGAAGACGGGUUGCUAGGCCGACACUGACGCUGAAGCGCGAAAGCGUGGGGAGCAAACAGG